This 738-nucleotide ribosomal RNA is filed under the name uncultured Russula. RNAcentral describes it as "partial 28S ribosomal RNA". It matches the Rfam family "Eukaryotic large subunit ribosomal RNA", at positions 216 to 962 of the family's 3401-position model. The record is from RNAcentral. Lineage: Eukaryota; Fungi; Basidiomycota; Agaricomycetes; Russulales; Russulaceae.
GAAUCCCGUCUUUGGCACGGAUGUACCAGGGCUUUCGUGAUGCGCUCUCGAAGAGUCGAGUUGUUUGGGAAUGCAGCUCAMAAUGGGUGGUGAACUCCAUCUAAAGCUAAAUAUUGGCGAGAGACCGAUAGCGAACAAGUACCGUGAGGGAAAGAUGAAAAGCACUUUGGAAAGAGAGUGAAACAGUACGUGAAAUUGUUGAAAGGGAAACGCUUGAAGUCAGUCGCGUCGACCGAGACUCAGCCUUGCCUCGGCUCGGUGUACUUCUCGGCCGACGGGUCAGCAUCAAUUUUGCCCCUCGGAUAAUGGCGAGAGAAAGGUGGCACCCUCACGGGUGUGUUAUAGUCUCCCGUCGGAUGCGAGGGUUGGGAUUGAGGAACUCGGCACGUACCGUGCUUAGGAUGUUGGCAUAAUGGCUUUAAACGACCCGUCUUGAAACACGGACCAAGGAGUCUAACAUGCCUGCGAGUGUUUGGGUGGUAAACCCGAGCGCGUAAUGAAAGUGAAAGUUGAGAUCCCUGUCGUGGGGAGCAUCGACGCCCGGACUUGAACUUUUGUGACGGAUCCGCGGUAGAGCAUGUAUGUUGGGACCCGAAAGAUGGUGAACUAUGCCUGAAUAGGGUGAAGCCAGAGGAGACUCUGGUGGAGGCUCGUAGCGAUUCUGACGUGCAAAUCGAUCGUCAAAUUUGGGUAUAGGGGCGAAAGACUAAUCGAACCAUCUAGUAGCUGGUUCCUGCC